This 84-nucleotide transfer RNA is filed under the name Chloroflexota bacterium. RNAcentral's name for it is "tRNA-Ser". It matches the Rfam family "tRNA". Rfam says of the family: Transfer RNA (tRNA) molecules are approximately 80 nucleotides in length. Their secondary structure includes four short double-helical elements and three loops (D, anti-codon, and T loops). The record is from RNAcentral. Lineage: Bacteria; Bacillati; Chloroflexota.
GGAGGGGUCGCAUAGUGGACUAGUGCAGCCGCCUCGAAAGCGGCCAGGUGAUGAGCCUCGUGGGUUCGAAUCCCACCCCCUCCG